AGAGUUUGAUCCUGGCUCAGAUUGUACGCUGGCGGCAGGCUUCACACAUGCAAGUCGAACGGUAACAGGAGAAAGCUUGCUUUCUUGCUGACGAGUGGCGGACGGGUGAGUAAUGCUUGGGAAUCUGGCUUAUGGAGGGGGAUAACUACGGGAAACUGUAGCUAAUACCGCGUAAUAUCUUCGGAUUAAAGGGUGGGACUUUCGGGCCACCUGCCAUAAGAUGAGCCCAAGUGGGAUUAGGUAGUUGGUGGGGUAAAGGCCUACCAAACCGACGAUCUCUAGCUGGUCUGAGAGGAUGACCAGCCACACUGGAACUGAGACACGGUCCAGACUCCUACGGGAGGCAGCAGUGGGGAAUAUUGCACAAUGGGGGGAACCCUGAUGCAGCCAUGCCGCGUGAAUGAAGAAGGCCUUCGGGUUGUAAAGUUCUUUCGGUGAUGAGGAAGGUGUUUGUUUUAAUAGAACAAGCAAUUGACGUUAGUCACAGAAGAAGCACCGGCUAACUCCGUGCCAGCAGCCGCGGUAAUACGUAGGGGGCUAGCGUUAUCCGGAAUUACUGGGCGUAAAGGGUGCGUAGGUGGUUUCUUAAGUCAGAGGUGAAAGGCUACGGCUCAACCGUAGUAAGCCUUUGAAACUGGGAAACUUGAGUGCAGGAGAGGAGAGUGGAAUUCCUAGUGUAGCGGUGAAAUGCGUAGAUAUUAGGAGGAACACCAGUUGCGAAGGCGGCUCUCUGGACUGUAACUGACACUGAGGCACGAAAGCGUGGGGAGCAAACAGGAUUAGAUACCCUGGUAGUCCACGCCGUAAACGAUGAGUACUAGCUGUCGGAGGUUACCCCCUUCGGUGGCGCAGCUAACGCAUUAAGUACUCCGCCUGGGAAGU
This 882-nucleotide ribosomal RNA is filed under the name uncultured bacterium. Its description in RNAcentral is "bacterial SSU rRNA". It matches the Rfam family "Bacterial small subunit ribosomal RNA", at positions 8 to 881 of the family's 1533-position model. The record is from RNAcentral.